RNAcentral lists this ribosomal RNA (441 nucleotides) under uncultured bacterium. RNAcentral describes it as "bacterial SSU rRNA". It matches the Rfam family "Bacterial small subunit ribosomal RNA", at positions 354 to 796 of the family's 1533-position model. The record is from RNAcentral.
GUGGGGAAUUUUGCGCAAUGGGCGAAAGCCUGACGCAGCAACGCCGCGUGGGUGACGAAGUCCCUUGGGACGUAAAACCCUGUCGGAUGGGACGAAAAAUCCCGCAAGGGAUAUUGACUGUACCAUCAAAGGAAGCCCCGGCUAACUCCGUGCCAGCAGCCGCGGUAAUACGGGGGGGGCAAGCGUUGUUCGGAAUUACUGGGCGUAAAGGGCGUGUAGGCUGCCCGGCAAGUCAGUUGUGAAAUCCCCAGGCUCAACUUGGGAAUUGCAACUGAAACUGCCAGGCUAGAGUUCUGGAGAGGAAAGCGGAACUCCCAGUGUAGCGGUGAAAUGCGUAGAUAUUGGGAGGAACACCGGUGGCGAAGGCGGCUUUCUGGACAGAAACUGACGCUGAGGCGCGAAAGCCAGGGGAGCAAACGGGAUUAGAUACCCUUGUAGUCC